This is a small nuclear RNA of Lepisosteus oculatus (spotted gar), 174 nucleotides long. Its record names the gene U2. It matches the Rfam family "U2 spliceosomal RNA". Rfam says of the family: U2 is a small nuclear RNA (snRNA) component of the spliceosome (involved in pre-mRNA splicing). Complementary binding between U2 snRNA (in an area lying towards the 5' end but 3' to hairpin I) and the branchpoint sequence (BPS) of the intron results the bulging out of an unpaired adenosine, on the BPS, which initiates a nucleophilic attack at the intronic 5' splice site, thus starting the first of two transesterification reactions that mediate splicing. The record is from Ensembl. Lineage: Eukaryota; Metazoa; Chordata; Actinopteri; Semionotiformes; Lepisosteidae.
AUAUCGCAUUGGUGUUGAUGUUGUUGAUUGUGUUUUGUAAUUUUAUAAUUAAAAAAAAUCGGGGGACCACAUAUUAAAUGGAUUUUUGGAACAGGGAGCUGGAUCAGGAGCUUGCUCCGUCCUCUCCACGCAUCGGCCCGGUAUUGCAGCGCCUCCAGGAACGGUGCACCACCU